This 69-nucleotide transfer RNA is filed under the name Tarentola mauritanica (Moorish gecko). RNAcentral describes it as "tRNA-Gly". The record is from RNAcentral. Lineage: Eukaryota; Metazoa; Chordata; Lepidosauria; Squamata; Phyllodactylidae.
ACUUCCUUAGUAUAACCUAUUACAAGUAAUUUCCACUUAUUUAACCCAACCGACUAGUUGGAGGAAGUA